Long non-coding RNA from Astatotilapia calliptera (eastern happy), 1145 nucleotides. NCBI's taxonomy places the organism in Eukaryota, Metazoa, Chordata, Actinopteri, Cichliformes, Cichlidae. The record is from Ensembl.
GUUUAACAACACGUAUCUGUCAGAAUGUGAUCUCCGUAGCCCUUGUUUGUGGAACUGUAUCAAAGCAUGAAAUAAUGAGACUCCUCAUAAAGUCAGGAAAAGAGCUGUUGAUGCUCGUAGGCUAAGACUAUUACGUUUCGGUGUUGUCAGUGUGUUGUUUUUGGCGUGACUGUUAUGUGUUUCCUGUUUACUUUGAAAGUCUGUGUUAUCUUAGUGUUUUCAGUUUACGUUUCCCUGUCUCGUCAGGUCUAAUUUGCCCCAGCUGUGUUUCCCUCCUGUUGUCCAUUUUCCUGAUUGCUCCCUCUAUGUAUUUAAACCCUGUGUUUCAGUGUGUCAUGGUCGCGAUCUCCCCCGUGUUGUAAAUAGUUUGGUGUUUUGUUGUAAAUAAAUAGUUUGUUGUAAAUAGAUUUGUCGAUACUUUCGUUUUGGGAUUUUGGUGGUGAGCUUUAGUGGGGUUUUUUGUGUGUGUGUUUUUUUUUUUUCUUUAUUUUUACUUUUUUCGUGUUGCACUCCGGUUGCCUAGGCCGGGGUCCUUAGUGUUUUCAGUUUACGUUUCCCUGUCUCGUCAGGUCUAAUUUGCCCCAGCUGUGUUUCCCUCCUGUUGUCCAUUUUCCUGAUUGCUCCCUCUAUGUAUUUAAACCCUGUGUUUCAGUGUGUCAUGGUCGCGAUCUCCCCCGUGUUGUAAAUAGUUUGGUGUUUUGUUGUAAAUAAAUAGUUUGUUGUAAAUAGAUUUGUCGAUACUUUCGUUUUGGGAUUUUGGUGGUGAGCUUUAGUGGGGUUUUUUGUGUGUGUGUUUUUUUUUUUUCUUUAUUUUUACUUUUUUCGUGUUGCACUCCGGUUGCCUAGGCCGGGGUGUAACAGUAGGCUAAGACUAUUACAGAACUAUGUUUAGCGUUUAGAUUUCACCAAUCCACAGUCGAACAGGUUUCAUGCAAAUAGACAACUAGUCGUCCAAGAGCAGUUACAGGAACCUUUGUUAGUUAUGUAAUAUUUAUGAAUGAAUUUCGUUAUUAAUUAAGUGACCACGGUAACAUCCGGUUGUUAAAUGAUGACAUAUGAACCCUUCUUCCCUUGCAGCCCAGCCCAUGCAGCAGUAUAUUAAUGACUAACCUCAUAUCCGGUUGUUAAGUGAUGACGUGACGAAU